Unclassified non-coding RNA from Callithrix jacchus (white-tufted-ear marmoset), 308 nucleotides. It matches the Rfam family "Metazoan signal recognition particle RNA". From Rfam's summary of the family: The signal recognition particle (SRP) is a universally conserved ribonucleoprotein. It is involved in the co-translational targeting of proteins to membranes. The eukaryotic SRP consists of a 300-nucleotide 7S RNA and six proteins: SRPs 72, 68, 54, 19, 14, and 9. The record is from Ensembl. NCBI's taxonomy places the organism in Eukaryota, Metazoa, Chordata, Mammalia, Primates, Cebidae.
GCAGGGUGCAGUGGUGCGUGCCUGUAGUCCCAGCUACUAGAGAAGCUGGGGUGAGAGGAUUGCUUGAGUCCAGGAGUUCUGGGCUGUAGUGCAAUAUGCCAAUGGUGUGUCCGCACUAAGUUCAGCAUCAAUAUGGUGACCUCCCAGGAGUCAGGGACCACCAGGUUGCCUAAAGAGGGGUGAACCAGUUGAACCGGCCCAGGUUGGAAACAGAGCAGGUCAAAACUCCCAUGCUGAUCAGUAGUGGGAUCGUGCCUGUUAAUAGCCACUGCACUCCAGCCUGGGCAACAUAGCAAGAUCCAUCUCUG